CAUUUAAACAGUUUUAUAAUGUUUUCAAAAAUUCCUGUCUCAUUUUUUUAAAAUUAAAAUGUGUUUGAUCAGGAGCAAGGCGUAAAGCAAAGUUACACAUUAAAAGAAACAACUGUCCUGUCUACUGACCCUCAAGCCAAAGCAUAAUCCACAAGUCCAUGUAGUAAAAGAAAACUUAAACACAUUAAAGAAAAAAAUAAGAAUUGUUUCGUUACCGCUGUAAAAUAUUCACUGAAUUAAACAAAGUUGUUUAUAUAUUCAGUUUUUUUGCUGUGCCACAAAUAAUCUGCAACUCCAACAUAAACACACGUAUUAGUUUCCCUCCGACAUUUUAUUUUAAUUUUUUUUUUUUUAUUCCCAGCUCAGCUUUGAAGCCAAACAUCUCUAAAAACAAACCAACCUAAAAGUUUUAAUCUUGGCAUAUUUCAUUCUAAGCUUGGUAGAAAUCUCAAUAAGGCACACAUUAUUACCCGCUCCGUCUUUCCUUACUUCAUCCACACACACACACACACGACAGAACGCUGAACCGCGCCAAAAGAACCUCUAUUUACAAUAUAUUACAUCACAAUGGGGAUGAUUAAUAGCAGCUCACAUGAACCUUGACAUUAGCCUUUUCAAACGGAGCAUCCUGUUACAAUGGAAGCACUUAAUUGCCAGAGUUAGGAAAGAAAUUCUUUGUGACGAGAUACAAAUCACGUUAAAACUAAGAAGUUUAAGUUAUCAUUUUAGUAACAUAAAUAUAAGUUUCUAUGACAGACUAGGACUUUUCAAAAAAGGCACCUUCUGAGUCUGUUUGUUCUAGAUGUUAUAAGUUAUAAGUGAUUGCAAGUAUAUAAAUACUAUAGAAACAUUACAGCUCAGGAAGAAGACGAGCUGUGUCGCAUAAAUGAAUAAAUUAACCCCAGAAUAAAACCAAAAUAUCUUGUAAGUUGUUGGCGUCUGCAGUGAAAUUACAACUUCACUGAUUUGAAAUGAAAGAAGAAGAAGAAGAAGCAAAUUCUCCAAAACCAAGAUAUAGAAACCAGAUUAUAUUUUGGAAAAGAGCACGAGAAAAACAUCCCAAAUGUUAAGUUUGGGGUAGCAGUGUCAUUUUAAGAGGCUGCUUUGCAUGUCAUAAAUUACGUUGAAACAUUAAACCCGACGUCUCAAAACAUCCUGCUGGAAAGUUCAAACUUUAGGUCGCUUUGCAGCGAACAGUGACCCGAAUCACGCAGUGAAGUUGGUUAUAAUGUGGCUUAAGGACAACAAAGUCAACAUUGUGAAGGAACCACCUCAAAGCUCUGGUGUCAUACAAACUUUGUGAACAGAGCUGAAAAUCUGAGUAAGAAAGGGACGAGACGGCCUACAAACCCGACUCCGGUUACACCGGUUCUGUCAGGAGGACUGGGCCGAAAUGUCCCAAAACCAUUGAGAGAAGCUUGUAAAGGGAUACCCAAAUACAGUACGGGGCCAUUUUAGCAAAUACCAAGGAAAUUUAUGUAAACUCAAGUU
Long non-coding RNA from Poecilia latipinna (sailfin molly), 1491 nucleotides. RefSeq lists it as uncharacterized. NCBI's taxonomy places the organism in Eukaryota, Metazoa, Chordata, Actinopteri, Cyprinodontiformes, Poeciliidae. The transcript has 2 exons. The record is from RefSeq and is a predicted model, not a curated record.